Molecule: ribosomal RNA, 433 nt
Filed under: uncultured bacterium
Lineage: Bacteria
Description: partial 16S ribosomal RNA
Rfam family: Bacterial small subunit ribosomal RNA
Source: RNAcentral
AACGAACGCUGGCGGCAUGCCUAACACAUGCCAGUCGAACGAGACCUUCGGGUCUAGUGGCGCACGGGUGCGUAACGCGUGGGAACCUGCCCUUAGGUUCGGAAUAACUCCCCGACAGGGGUGCUAAUACCGGAUAAUGUCUUCGGACCAAAGAUUUAUCGCCUUUGGAUGGGCCGGCGUUGGAUUAGCUAGUUGGUAGGGUAAAAGCCUACCACGGCGACGAUCCAUAGCUGGUCUGAGAGGAUGAGCAGCCACACUGGGACUGAGACACGGCCCAGACUCCUACGGGAGGCAGCAGUGGGGAAUAUUGGACAAUGGGCGAAAGCCUGAUCCAGCAAUGCCGCGUGAGUGAUGAAGGCCUUAGGGUUGUAAAGCUCUUUUACCCGGGAUGAUAAUGACAGUACCGGGAGAAUAAGCUCCGGCUAACUCCGUG